RNAcentral lists this ribosomal RNA (450 nucleotides) under uncultured bacterium. Its description in RNAcentral is "partial 16S ribosomal RNA". It matches the Rfam family "Bacterial small subunit ribosomal RNA", at positions 354 to 796 of the family's 1533-position model. The record is from RNAcentral.
GUGGGGAAUAUUGGACAAUGGGGGGAACCCUGAUCCAGCCAUGCCGCGUGUGUGAAGAAGGCCUUUUGGUUGUAAAGCACUUUAAGCGAGGAGGAGGCUACCGAGAUUAAUACUCUUGGAUAGUGGACGUUACUCGCAGAAUAAGCACCGGCUAACUCUGUGCCAGCAGCCGCGGUAAUACAGAGGGUGCAAGCGUUAAUCGGAUUUACUGGGCGUAAAGCGCGCGUAGGUGGCCAAUUAAGUCAAAUGUGAAAUCCCCGAGCUUAACUUGGGAAUUGCAUUCGAUACUGGUUGGCUAGAGUAUGGGAGAGGAUGGUAGAAUUCCAGGUGUAGCGGUGAAAUGCGUAGAGAUCUGGAGGAAUACCGAUGGCGAAGGCAGCCAUCUGGCCUAAUACUGACACUGAGGUGCGAAAGCAUGGGAGCAAACAGGAUUAGAUACCCGAGUAGUCC